Pelobates cultripes (western spadefoot toad) is the source of this 494-nucleotide non-coding RNA. NCBI's taxonomy places the organism in Eukaryota, Metazoa, Chordata, Amphibia, Anura, Pelobatidae. The record is from the annotation of a GenBank genome assembly.
GACCUCCUGGAGGCAAGGGGUAUCCAAGCCAGCAACAAGAAGAAAGCGGUACUCAUUACUGAACUCAUGGCAGAGUACCGAAUGGAUGGCGAUUUGGUUCCCGAACAGGGGGAUUCGGGAGAAAAACAGGAACAGAUGGAGUUCCUGAGGCAGCUACAAUUUAGGCUGUCUUUUUAUGGGGAACACCCUUCAGCGGAAAUUUCCAAGACCAUGUCAGAGGUCCAGAAAUUCAUCUUAAGAAAACAGACAACAGCAGCCCCAGAACGCAGCUCUGCCACAAGAAGGUAAGCCUAAAAUACCAUACCAGGCUUUUAAAAUGUAUGUGGAGGCAGAGGAAGAUAUAGACGCUUUCCUGCAAGAUUUUAAGAGACUGUGUGCACUGCAUAGAAUCAGUGCAGAGGACUGGGUACCUAUUUUGGCAGGAAGGUUAACUGGGAGGGCAGCAGAGGCAUAUCAUACUGUACCCAAUGAGGAAAUCCGGAAUUACAAUAAAG